CCUACGGGCGGCAGCAGUGAGGAAUAUUGGUCAAUGGACGAGAGUCUGAACCAGCCAAGUAGCGUGAAGGAUGACUGCCCUAUGGGUUGUAAACUUCUUUUAUAUGGGAAUAAAACGUUCCACGUGUGGGAUUUUGUAUGUACCAUAUGAAUAAGGAUCGGCUAACUCCGUGCCAGCAGCCGCGGUAAUACGGAGGAUCCGAGCGUUAUCCGGAUUUAUUGGGUUUAAAGGGAGCGUAGGUGGAUUGUUAAGUCAGUUGUGAAAGUUUGCGGCUCAACCGUAAAAUUGCAGUUGAAACUGGCAGUCUUGAGUACAGUAGAGGUGGGCGGAAUUCGUGGUGUAGUGGUGAAAUGCUUAGAUAUCACGAAGAACUCCGAUUGCGAAGGCAGUUCACUGGACUGCAACUGACACUGAGGCUCGAAAGUGUGGGUAUCAAACAGGAUUAGAUACCCUGGUAGUC
Molecule: ribosomal RNA, 460 nt
Filed under: uncultured bacterium
Lineage: Bacteria
Description: partial 16S ribosomal RNA
Rfam family: Bacterial small subunit ribosomal RNA
Source: RNAcentral